GGUUUUUAGUUUUAUUUAGGAGUUGGUCUGCUCAAUGAAUUUUAAAUAGCUGCGGUAAGGUGACUGUGCGAAGGUAGCAUAAUAAUUAGUUUAUUAAUUGUGAACUGGGAUGAAAGGGCUGAUGGGGGACUUUCUGUCUUGUUUUUAUGAGUUGAAUUUGACGUUUAUGUUAUAAGGCGUAUAUAGUUCUGAGGGACGAUAAGACCCUAUAGAAUUAAAAUUUAUCUGAGUGUAAGGAGGUUUAUUAUUUUUUAUUUAAAUUGAAUUUUUGGUUGGGGUGAUUGGAAUAAUAGUUAAACUUUUUUUGGUUGGUUCAAGGAUUUUUGGUUAAGGGACUUGAUUUAAAGUUUAAGAUUAAAUUACCUUAGGGAUAACAGCAUAAUUUUUUUGGAGAGUUCUAAUCGAUAAAGAAGUUUGUGACCUCGAUGUUGAAUCUA
This 437-nucleotide ribosomal RNA is filed under the name Ptilocerembia sp. KBMEB164. RNAcentral's name for it is "partial 16S ribosomal RNA". The record is from RNAcentral. Lineage: Eukaryota; Metazoa; Arthropoda; Insecta; Embioptera; Ptilocerembiidae.